GAUGAACGCUGGCGGCGUGCCUAAUACAUGCAAGUCGAGCGAACGGACGAGAAGCUUGCUUCUCUGAUGUUAGCGGCGGACGGGUGAGUAACACGUGGAUAACCUACCUAUAAGACUGGGAUAACUUCGGGAAACCGGAGCUAAUACCGGAUAAUAUUUUGAACCGCAUGGUUCAAAAGUGAAAGACGGUCUUGCUGUCACUUAUAGAUGGAUCCGCGCUGCAUUAGCUAGUUGGUAAGGUAACGGCUUACCAAGGCAACGAUGCAUAGCCGACCUGAGAGGGUGAUCGGCCACACUGGAACUGAGACACGGUCCAGACUCCUACGGGAGGCAGCAGUAGGGAAUCUUCCGCAAUGGGCGAAAGCCUGACGCAGCCACGCCGCGUGAGUGAUGAAGGUCUUCGGAUCGUAAAACUCUGUUAUUAGGGAAGAACAUAUGUGUAAGUAACUGUGCACAUCUUGACGGUACCUAAUCAGAAAGCCACGGCUAACUACGUG
This 497-nucleotide ribosomal RNA is filed under the name uncultured bacterium. RNAcentral's name for it is "partial 16S ribosomal RNA". It matches the Rfam family "Bacterial small subunit ribosomal RNA", at positions 28 to 507 of the family's 1533-position model. The record is from RNAcentral.